GCUUUCGCAAGCAUUAUAGUGCUUUUAAAAGAUCACACAGUUUUGCUUUUCUGGGUAAGCUUGAAUGCCACUACCAUCAUAUUUAGAUCUGAACACAAUUUGAUUCGAUACCAUUUCAUUUUAUGCAUAUUUAUGGCUUAUCUUUCAGCUUUUGGUUUGAAUGAAAGUUGAAUCGUAGACUCAGUGUUAUUAGUCUAUGUUUGAUAGUUAGAAGUGUGAUGCAACAUUUAGCAAUUUUAUUUUUUACUGUUGUAAGUGUAAUGAGUAUGUUUGAGCCAAUAUAAGGUGAUAUUCUUCCUUAUCAGUUAUUGUUUUUGAAUUCAUGGGGUUGAAACCUACUAUGUCAAAAUGAGUCGAUGCAAUUGUGCUAAGCCGUGAUAUACUUUGAACCAUCGACUUUUGGGUGGUCGAGGAUUUUUCGUCUUUCACUUUGUUCCCCCCUUUUUUUUCAUCUUACAUAAUUGGGCUACACGUUCAUACAAUUCUGAGGCUUUGAUAUACAAAGCUGUAGCUGAACUUUGCAUAUGGCCAUUGGGAUCUUAUUAGUAGAUCAAGAGUUACGGGCUAUACGCACAGCAUUGGUGGUAUAACUUGAAGUCUUAGUGGUGAGAAUGAUGCUUGAAAGAUGGAUUGCAGGCUUGCCAUUGCUCCCAGUCGGCAUGUUUGCAAAUGGAUUAGGUAAAAUAAAAUACUUGCUUUGUUCCUUGUUCACUCCUUUUUUUUUUAUUUUAUUUCCGUUGUUUCAGAUUAAGUAGUUAAGACUUAAGAGCUCUACUACUUCUUAGACGAGAGUCGUUGCCUAUUUCAUGUCUGUUUUUGCUGCUAUAUAUUUUUAAGCUUGUAGAUUAAAGUUUUUAAUCUAUUUACGGCAGUGCAUUGACCUAUCCAUAUAUGUGUGUGUUUCUCUGAUAAAGGUUGAUUUCCUAGUCUUCCCCUUAUAAGUUGUUUACAAGUUAGACUUGAAUGUCUGGUUUUUUAAUUUCAAUGGGCAUUUUCUAUUAUAAGUUAAUAGAUCUGAUCAGAACUCAGUGCCAAGCUCAAAAAAUGUUGUAAGCCAUACUGCCCAUUUCAAGAAUCACAAUUGUUCUUGUUCUUGCUACUUAAAUGCAUGUAAAGCACCCCUCUGAGGAACCAGGUUUGAGUGGCAUUGAUAGCUUUGAAGGUGUGCUAGAUUUGUAUCAGAGGUGAAAAGGCUAAUUUGUUCAUCACUUUCUACUGUGGCAUGAAGAUAACUUGUACAGUGCAGCAAUUCAAUAGCCCAAGGAUGCCUUGACCAGUUUCAAUUACUCCAUGGAUCGUAGUGUCUUCCUUGUUAGUAGAGGGUACGUGCCUGCCAUCAGUGAGUUCAUCACAUUCAACUCCCCCUGUUAAUACGUUCCAUCUUACUCAUUCUCAUUUCUAUAACCUUGAAUAGUUAAAUCAAUUAUGUCACCUUUUUAAUAAUGAGAUGAACACUUGUAUAGCAUUUUCACACUCUUUAGUUGGAAUUUCUUGUACAAUAUGCACCAAGCCAUCAAAUUACUAUAUGUUGUAUAGUGUAUUGAUCUUAUAUAUGGUGUAAGUUUAUAAUGCUUAAGCUGCCCUUCUGCAUAGUGCUUUACAAAAUUAUAAGGCAUGAUGUGAGCAUCUUUACCUAUAAAUUUGGUAUUUAUUCUUAUUGGUGCAACAUUAUAUGAUUAACAGAUAAAAGAGUGGCUUUUGGUAUUUAUUCACUUUUUUGCAGCAGUAUCCUGGAGGCUAUAUCUUAAUUGAGGAUUGCCUAGUAUAUGCAUUCAUAGUGGCAUGUACCCAGCAACACAUUGAUGAAGUAGGAAAUGAGUAGGCAAAAUUUGUUGUUAAAACAUAUAUGUAAGCAGUAGUAUCGCAUCUAGUUAGUGGUUGGUGACUUAUUUUGGUAACCUGGAUUUUACAAGAUAGACAAUAUUAUUACUUGCUAGAUUGAGGUUGUUUUUAGUUACGAUUGCUGGAUUUGAUCAUAUAUGGAUAUGGAUAUGUACUUUUGGAAAUGUUUUGGAUUGACAAUGAUAUGA
RNAcentral lists this long non-coding RNA (2030 nucleotides) under Rosa chinensis. RNAcentral describes it as "sRNA RchiOBHm_Chr6g0275471". The record is from RNAcentral. Lineage: Eukaryota; Viridiplantae; Streptophyta; Magnoliopsida; Rosales; Rosaceae.